GUCUACGGCCAUACCACCCUGAACACGUCUGAUCUCGUCUCGUCGAUCUCGGAAGCUAAGCAGGGUUGGGCCUGGUUAGUACUUGGCUGGGAGACUGCCUGAGAAUACCGGGUGCUGUAGGCU
This is a ribosomal RNA of Suncus etruscus (white-toothed pygmy shrew), 123 nucleotides long. Lineage: Eukaryota; Metazoa; Chordata; Mammalia; Eulipotyphla; Soricidae. The record is from RefSeq and is a predicted model, not a curated record.